Oncorhynchus keta (chum salmon) is the source of this 805-nucleotide RNA transcript. It is a transcript of the gene named YLP motif-containing protein 1-like, with no coding region annotated. NCBI's taxonomy places the organism in Eukaryota, Metazoa, Chordata, Actinopteri, Salmoniformes, Salmonidae. The transcript is spliced from 3 exons. The record is from RefSeq and is a predicted model, not a curated record.
UGGUGAAACUCCCUCCCUCCCAAGCUGAUGGUGAAACUCCCUCCCAAGGUGAAGGUGAGUCUCCCUCCCAAGCUGAAGGUGAGUCUCCCUCCCAAGCUGAAGGUGAGUCUCCCUCCCAAGCUGAAGGUGAGUCUCCCUCCCUCCCAAGCUGAAGGUGAGUCUCCCUCCCAAGCUGAAGGUGAGUCUCCCUCCCAAGCUGAAGGUGAGUCUCCCUCCCAAGGUGAAGGUGAGUCUCCCUCCCAAGCUGAAGGUGAGUCUCCCUCCCUCCCAAGCUGAAGGUGAGUCUCCCUCCCUCCCAAGCUGAAAGUGAAACUCCCUCCCAAGCUGAAGGUGAAACUCCCUCCCAAGCUGAAGGUGAAACUCCCUACCAAGUUGAAGUUGAAGGUGAAACUCCCUCCCUCCCAAGCUGAAGGUGAAACUCCCUCCCUCCCAAGCUGAAGGUGAAACUCCCUCCCUCCCAAGCUGAAGGUGAAACUCCCUCCCUCCCAAGCUGAAGGUGAAACUCCCUCCCUCCCAAGCUGAAGGUGAAACUCCCUCCCUCCCAAGCUGAAGGUGAAACUCCCUCCCUCCCAAGCUGAAGGUGAAACUCCCUCCCUCCCAAGCUGAAGGUGAAACUCCCUCCCAAGCUGAUGGUGAAACUCCCUCCCUCCCAAGGUGAAGGUGAAACUCCCUCCCAAGGUGAAGAUGAAACUCCCUCCCAAGGUGAAGAUGAAACUCACUCCCUCCCAAGCUGAAGGUGAAACUCACUCCCUCCCAAGCUGAAGGUGAAACUCCCUCCCAAGCUGAAGGUGAAACUCCCUCCCAA